Molecule: long non-coding RNA, 2005 nt
Organism: Coffea eugenioides
Lineage: Eukaryota; Viridiplantae; Streptophyta; Magnoliopsida; Gentianales; Rubiaceae
Exons: 5
Source: RefSeq, a predicted model, not a curated record
GUUUUGGAAGUUGACCCAUCAUAUGAUCAAGCUAGAAGACAGAUUGUUCGCUUGAAGCCAUUAGCAGAUGAAAAACGUCAAAAGAUGAAGGAAGAAAUGAUUGUUGACCAUUGGUGGUAUGAACUUCUUUGGGUAGUUGCUGUUAAAUGAUUCUUUUUUGCUCUUCACGUGUAAAUAUAGGAAUGCUUCAUUUUUGCAAAAGAAAAUGUGUUCUAGGGGAGAAGAGUGGAGGAGGAGGAGAGGAUCUGGAAUUUUUGCAAAAGUAAAAGGAGCUAGUGUGAGCUGAGGUGGCUAGUGCAUUCGGAAGAUUCUGGAGGAAGGGGAAGGUUAAUGUGAGCAGAUAAAGCUUUGCUUCAGGUGCUGCUAAAGAAUAGAUGCUUGUGGAAGUGGACAAACGAUUACUGAGAUUAGCACAAGGAUGGUUUAAGGGAAAUGUAAGCUGAGGGAAAUUGGAAAUUGCAAUUCUGGUCAAUUUGGAAUGAGCGCUGACAAUUUCAAAGCUGUGAAAGAUCCAAACACUGGUUCAUAUUCUAUUCCAUUUCAGUGCUAAUAUCUUUUACAAACUUCACAUAUAUUCUUUAGUUUCUGGAGCUAUGGAUCAAAUGGACUGAAAUCUUAAAGAGGAUGAAGCACGUUUCCUCACAGUGUUGAUCUCAGUCGUAUGAUUAUGUUUUUACAUAUAACUUGAGAAAAAGAAAUUGAUGUGGUUUUUUGCCAUAAUAUGUUAUAAACAGACUUAAAGUUUCACUUUACUGGAAGUUUCUUAUAGUUGCUUUAGUACUUUCCAUUUCUUCGUGGUGUUGUCCAUGGUUUUGAUACUGUUUUGGAGGGCAUCUGAAGGUGCAGCAUAAUUUAUGCUAUCAACGUCUUUGUCAUGAUCUGUUCGGAGAGUAGCAUAGAAAUGUAGAACCUUGCACGCAAACAGGGAGAGAGUCCACCUCCUCUUCCCACCCAUCCCAAAAAAGGGUAAAUUCUGACUAGAUAUCAUAUCAUAGCCACACUAAAAGUGUGUAAGCUCGGAUGAACACUGAAAUGGUCUGGUUACUCCGUAAUUUUCAUGAACUCUGGGGGUGUUUGUUGGUUGCAUGAUUUUUGGGCGGCUUGGGGAUAUGUGGGCGCAGACAGCCUCAUUGAAUCGGGUGCACACUCCUUCCUUUGCCUUCUCUCUCUCUUCCUUGCUCUUAAUUUCAAUCCUUGCUCUCUUCUAAUUACCACUUUCUUUCCUGCUCUUCUAAUUACCGGACCAAUUUCUCCCCUUCGCUUGCUUACACCUUGCAGCACAACUCAGGAAUCAAGUUAAUUCUUGAAAAAUUGAAACUUGCGGAAGAAAGGCAAAUGGAAGGAAGGGACUCACUUUGGUAUCUCUGAACAGCUAUUCCACUUUGGAUUGGGCAAGGAUGAAUGGACAGUUGAUAAAAGCCAUUUCUCCACGAGUUAUGGAAACAUAUUGAUAUGCAGCAUUACGGUAUCUAGAGUUAAGGCUUCUGGGAUCCCUUCUGAUGAGAAAGUGAAGUUUGCAUAUGCAAUCAACAUAAGAAAGCUAGUCAAGCCACCACUACCAGCAGGAUACUGGGGAAUUCUGACCAAGGCUGAAGACCAUGUCGAUCAACCGAUAUAUAAAACAGCAGAAUUGAUCAACAAGAGCAAAUACAAUGUAUCUGAUGAAUAUGUUCGAUCAUUUAUCGAUUUUCAGGAGCUAAAUUAUCAUGAAGGGACCACAGUAGGAGCAAAGGUGAGUGGAAUUACUGAUUGGAGACACUUAGGCCAUUCCACAGUGGACUUUGGUUGGGGAGGUCCUGUUACAGUUUUUCCUCUGUCAAGAAACCUACUUGGAAGCGUUGAGCCCCGUUUCUUUUUGCCCUAUUCUUCAGCAAAUGAAGGGGAAAAGGAUGGUUGUAAACUUUCUGUGUGUUUGCAAGAACAUGCUGUUUCAGGUUUCAAAGAAGACAUGAAUAAGUUGAAGAAUUUAGAGCCUGGAUUCCUUUGAAUGAAGGGUUUCUUGUUA